This 503-nucleotide ribosomal RNA is filed under the name uncultured bacterium. RNAcentral describes it as "partial 16S ribosomal RNA". It matches the Rfam family "Bacterial small subunit ribosomal RNA", at positions 28 to 523 of the family's 1533-position model. The record is from RNAcentral.
GAUGAACGCUAGCGAUAGGCCUAACACAUGCAAGUCGAGGGACAUCACGGAGUAGCAAUACUUUGGUGGCGACCGGCGCACGGGUGAGUAACGCGUAUGCAAUCUACCUACAACAGGGGGAUAACCCGGAGAAAUCCGGACUAAUACCGCAUAACACAGGGGUCCCGCAUGGGAAUAUUUGUUAAAGAUUUAUCGGUUGUAGAUGAGCAUGCGUUCCAUUAGGUAGUUGGUGAGGUAACGGCCCGCCAAGCCUGCGAUGGAUAGGGGAACUGCGAGGAUUGUCCCCCACACUGGAACUGAGGCACGGACCAGACUCCUACGGGAGGCAGCAGUGAGGAAUAUUGGUCAAUGGGCGAGGGCCUGAACCAGCCAAAUCGCGUGAAGGAAGACUGCCUUAUGGGUUGUAAACUUCUUUUGUACAGGAAUAAAAAGAGGGACGUGUCCUUCAUUGCAUGUACUGUACGAAUAAGCAUCGGCUAACUCCGUGCCAGCCGCCGCCGUAA